This 787-nucleotide ribosomal RNA is filed under the name uncultured Neocallimastigales. Its description in RNAcentral is "partial large subunit ribosomal RNA". It matches the Rfam family "Eukaryotic large subunit ribosomal RNA", at positions 24 to 645 of the family's 3401-position model. The record is from RNAcentral. Lineage: Eukaryota; Fungi; Neocallimastigomycota; Neocallimastigomycetes; Neocallimastigales.
UAUGUGAUCGUCUCUCGCAUAUCAAUAAGCGGAGGAAAAGAAAAUAACAAGGAUUUCCCCUAGUAACGGCGAGUGAAGAGGGAAAGAGCUCAAAUUUGAAACUCGUUAAGGGCUUAGCUAAACCGUAUUGUACUGUAAGAACAGUGUUUUCCUGUGCACGGUCUGGAUUAAUAAGUCCUUUGGAACUAGGACAUCAUAGAGGGUGAGAAUCCCGUCUUUGAUCCUAGUACUUGUCAACUUUGUGAUACACUUUCAAAGAGUCGGAUUGUUUGGGAAUGCAGUCCAAAAUGGGUGGUAAAUUUCAUCUAAAGCUAAAUAUUUGCGAGAGACCGAUAGCGAACAAGUACCGUGAGGGAAAGAUGAAAAGAACUUUGAAAAGAGAGUUAAACAGUACGUGAAAUUGUCAAAAGGGAAGCGUUUGACACCAGUGUUGUUUUUCUGAAAAUCAAUUAAAGAACUGUUUAUGCUAAGUUGUUUAGACUUUAUCAGCUAACUGUUUAGUUUUGAGCUUUUCUUUAAUGCACUUUUCAGUUAACAAGUCAACAUCAAUUUCUUUUGCUGUAAAAAAGCUUGAGGAAGGUGGCUUGAGAUUCGUCUUAAGUGUUUAUAGCCUCUUGCCUAUGCAGUCGGAGAGAUUGAGGUCUGCAGCGUAGAUCCUUCGGGGCUAAAUGCAUUUGUGCUAAGUUAUAGCAUUUUAUAGACAACUUGUUGACUAUGAUUUGUCUUGUAGCUUACUCGCUUAUGUUAUUUUACCUACGCUUAGGAUGUUGAAGUCAUCGUAUCGCGC